This 300-nucleotide long non-coding RNA is filed under the name Helianthus annuus (common sunflower). Its description in RNAcentral is "sRNA HanXRQr2_Chr03g0092311". Lineage: Eukaryota; Viridiplantae; Streptophyta; Magnoliopsida; Asterales; Asteraceae. The record is from RNAcentral.
AUGGAACCCGAUGCAUUCGAAAAUAAACUUUUUCAACGGCCUAUACCAACAAGCGGAUCGCACACGAGCAAGUGGAUGUCAAGAUCUCGACGUGAUGAAAGUCGCAUUAAAAGAAUUUAAAGAAAGAUUUCCAAGCGGUUUUCAACACAUCGAGGCGUGGGAGGUCGUUCGAAAACACGAGAAAUGGGCCCAAGUACCAUUGAUGGGCGAGGAAGGUGAAGGUUCGGCACAUAAAAGAAAGCCCGUUGACGUAGACUUUUCGAUACCGGAUAUGAACGAAGAUCCCUCGCCACAAAGAGC